This 174-nucleotide ribosomal RNA is filed under the name Torrentaria fuegiana. RNAcentral describes it as "partial 18S ribosomal RNA". It matches the Rfam family "Eukaryotic small subunit ribosomal RNA", at positions 1663 to 1831 of the family's 1831-position model. The record is from RNAcentral. Lineage: Eukaryota; Viridiplantae; Streptophyta; Bryopsida; Hypnales; Brachytheciaceae.
UACACACCCGCCCGUCGCUCCUACCGAUUGAAUGGUCCGGUGAAGUUUUCGGAUCGCGGCGACGCCGGCGGUUCGCCGCCGGUGACGUUGUGAGAAGUUCAUUAAACCUUAUCAUUUAGAGGAAGGAGAAGUCGUAACAAGGUUUCCGUAGGUGAACCUGCGGAAGGAUCAUUG